RNAcentral lists this long non-coding RNA (288 nucleotides) under Lathyrus oleraceus (garden pea). RNAcentral's name for it is "Pisum sativum (pea) long non-coding RNA (PSAT_LNC022691)". The record is from RNAcentral. Lineage: Eukaryota; Viridiplantae; Streptophyta; Magnoliopsida; Fabales; Fabaceae.
GCAAAAAAGGGUAUCCUGUUGGACUGAAAACCUGAAAAGGCGGUCCAGGCAAAAGUUAGGGAUUAAAGCGUAUGACUAUGUCCCGUUUUCAGUCAACUUUCAUCCAAGUUCAAGGGACUGACCAAGCCAAUCACUUCUAUCCGACAGCAGAGGAUGAGAUGCUUGAAGACAUAAUGGCCGUAGUGGACUUAAAAUCAAUAGGACUUUUUCUGCAUAGUUUUCUCUUUUUGUUUCGACAAUUUCCUCUUACCAGGAUUUCUGUCUCCUUGUACACAAAUUGCCUGUUUA